RNAcentral lists this long non-coding RNA (323 nucleotides) under Vigna radiata. Its description in RNAcentral is "long non-coding RNA (VRAD_LNC009324)". Lineage: Eukaryota; Viridiplantae; Streptophyta; Magnoliopsida; Fabales; Fabaceae. The record is from RNAcentral.
CCGUCAGAAUGGGUUACAACCCGCGAGCCAACCCGGCCCGUCACGAGUUUGGGUCGGGUUAGGUUUGAAAAAUACAACUCACUUAUAUGCGGGUCAGAUUUCAACCCGACUUGUUUAGACCCGGCUCAUGCGGGUUGAACCCGUGGUGAGCCGGGUUGGCCCACCAACCCACCUAUCUAAUUUUAUUUUUUUUAAUUUAUUAUUUAAUUUAUGAAACCCUACAAAAAUACUUUCUUCACUCACUGUGUAUACCAAAAAAAGUAAACUCUAAACUCUGCUCUCACAAAUCACUCUCUCACGUUACUUGCUCUCAUUUGACGGUG